UACGAAGGUCCCGAGCGUUAUCCGGAUUUAUUGGGUUUAAAGGGUGCGUAGGCGGGCUAUUAAGUCAGUGGUGAAAGCCCCAAGCUUAACUUGGGAACUGCCAUUGAUACUGAUGGUCUUGAGUACAUUUGAGGUGGGCGGAAUGUGUCAUGUAGCGGUGAAAUGCUUAGAUAUGACACAGAACACCGAUUGCGAAGGCAGCUCACUAAACUGUAACUGACGCUGAGGCACGAAAGCGUGGGGAGCAAACAGG
RNAcentral lists this ribosomal RNA (253 nucleotides) under uncultured bacterium. RNAcentral's name for it is "partial 16S ribosomal RNA". It matches the Rfam family "Bacterial small subunit ribosomal RNA", at positions 524 to 776 of the family's 1533-position model. The record is from RNAcentral.